GACGAACGCUGGCGGCGUGCUUAACACAUGCAAGUCGAACGGAAAGGCCCUGCUUUUGUGGGGUGCUCGAGUGGCGAACGGGUGAGUAACACGUGAGUAACCUGCCCUUGACUUUGGGAUAACUUCAGGAAACUGGGGCUAAUACCGGAUAGGAGCUCCUGCUGCAUGGUGGGGGUUGGAAAGUUUCGGCGGUUGGGGAUGGGCUCGCGGCUUAUCAGCUUGUUGGUGGGGUAGUGGCUUACCAAGGCUUUGGCGGGUAGCCGGCCUGAGAGGGUGACCGGCCACCGUGGGACUGAGAUACGGCCCAGAGUCGUACGGGAGGCAGCAGUGGGGUAUAUUGCACAAUGGGCGGAAGCCUGAUGCAGCAACGCCGCGUGCGGGAUGACGGCCUUCGGGUUGUAAACCGCUUUCGCCUGUGCCGAAGCGUGAGUGACGGUACUGGGUAAAGAAGCACCGGCUAACUACGUG
This 468-nucleotide ribosomal RNA is filed under the name uncultured bacterium. RNAcentral describes it as "partial 16S ribosomal RNA". It matches the Rfam family "Bacterial small subunit ribosomal RNA", at positions 28 to 507 of the family's 1533-position model. The record is from RNAcentral.